RNAcentral lists this long non-coding RNA (315 nucleotides) under Helianthus annuus (common sunflower). RNAcentral's name for it is "hypothetical non coding rna". The record is from RNAcentral. Lineage: Eukaryota; Viridiplantae; Streptophyta; Magnoliopsida; Asterales; Asteraceae.
GACAUGAUUAUGUAACCAUGUAACGGAUGGAACUUGUUUAUAAGUAAGUCUAUUAUCGGACGGUCAUAUGUAUGACUAGGGAGGUGUGUUAAUUUAAAUUAAGUGAAUAGGAUGCUUACGGCGGCAGUUUUCCAAAAAGUUGAUUGUUUUGUUAUUUUUGACCUUCGGGCAUAAAUAGAUACGUUAUAAACUCCUCUUAACUAAUAUUUUUGGGUUAUAAACUCAAGUCUAAGCACCAUAUAAUUAAUAUAUGAGUAUGAUGAUCGAAUGCGAGUAGGUUAAUCAAGAAUUGGAUGUAAGUAAAUAUGUGUAGAC